AUGGAUCGCAAUCUACACGCUGCAUUUUGGUCCGACUCUCCUUCUCAUCAAGAAAACCGUUACAGAAUCACCCACCACAAAAGGACCAAGCAGCGUGUCAACAGGCAGGAGCAGCGCGAGGAGACGCGCAAUAAGGAUUUCUGGACAUGGGAGGAAAUCCUCGACGGGAGAGGACCCUGGGCUAAACCAGGGGAGUGUAGCCGCCCAAAGGUGCAGCAGCAGAAGAGGCAACAGGAGCAGCCCAAAGAGGAGGUAUGGACAUGGGAGGACGAAUUAGAAGGAAGAGGACCCUGGGCUCAGCCAGGAGAAUAUCGCCGCCCCAAAGAAGAACUGGAGGCGGCGAAAGCUGAGAGGCGCAGAUAUGAGGAGGCAGCACGACGUAGCGGAUGGAAGCCUGAGAGGCAGCCCCAAAAAUUUCUUGGGGGGGGGCUAACAGGGAGUAUGGCUACGCCAGGUAGGAGACCUGGGCAGACUCCCUGUGCUUACCGGGGGGCUAGAGAGACCGGACAGGCACCGUGUUAUGCAGUGGUGCGCACGGUGUCUCCAGUGCGGGUGCAUAGCCCGGUGCGGUAUAUUCCAGCUCCGCGUGUCGGCCGGGCUAGAUUGAGCGUCGAGCCUAAUGCCAUGAAGCCGGCUCUACGCAGCUGGUCCCCAGUGCGUCUCCUUGGGCCGGCUUACAUGGCACCAGCCUUGCGCUCGGUGUCUCCGGUUCGCCUGCGUAGCCCAGUGCGGGCUAUUCCACCUCGCCGCACUGGCAGGGCGACCGUGAGCAUUCAACCAGCUAAGGUUGGGCAGGCUCGGUGCUCAAGAGCUCCAGUGCGCCUGCACGGUCCGGUUUUUCCAGUACCACCUCCACACCCCAGCCCUCCGGUAGCAGCUCCCCGCACCAGGCUUCCUGUGCGUGUCCUCGGCCCAGUACCACCCGUGCCAGCACCACGCAUCAGGCCUACAGUGCGCCUCGCCUGUCCAGCGCUGCCAGAGCCUUCCUCCUCUUCAGCGCUGUCGGAGUCUCCCGCCUGUUUAGCGCUGUUAGAGCCUUCCUUCUCUACAGCGCUGCCGGAGUCUCCCGCCUGUUCAGAACUGCCAGUUUGCAAGGAGCUGCCAGUUUGCAAGGAGCUGCCAGUUUGCAAGGAGCUGCCAGUUUGCAAGGAGCUGCCAGUUUGCAAGGAGCUGCCAGUUUGCAAGGAGCUGCCAGUUUGCAAGGAGCUGCCAGUCUGCAUAGAGCUGCCAGUCUGCAAGGAGCUGCCAGUCUGCAGGGAGCUGCCAGUCUGCAAGGAGCCGCCAGAGCUGCCAGUCUGCAGGAUGCCGCCAAAGCUGCCAGUUUGCAAGGAGCCGCCAGAGCUGCCAGUUUGCAAGGAGCCGCCAGAGCUGCCAGUUAGCAUGGAGCAGCCAGAGCCGCCAGUCAGCAUGGAGCAGCCAGGGCCGCCAGUCAGCAUGGAGCAGCCAGGCAGCAUGGAGCAGCCAGAGCUGCCAGUCAGCAUGGAGCAGCCAGUCAGCAUGGAGCAGCCAGAGCUGCCAGUCAGCAUGGAGCAGCCAGUCAGCAUGGAGCUGCCAGUCGACCAGACUCUUCCAGAUCUGCCAGUCGACCAGACUCUUCCAGAUCUGCCAGUCGACCAGACUCUUCCAGAUCUGCCAGUCGACCAGACUCUUCCAGAUCUGCCAGUCGGCCAGACUCUGCCAGAUCUGCCAGUCGGCCAGACUCUGCCAGAUCUGCCAGUCGGCCAGGAUCUGCCAGAUCUGCCAGUCGACCAGACUCUUCCAGAUCUGCCAGUCGACCAGACUCUUCCAGAUCUGCCAGUCGACCAGACUCUUCCAGAUCUGCCAGUCGACCAGACUCUUCCAGAUCUGCCAGUCGACCAGACUCUUCCAGAUCUGCCAGUCGACCAGACUCUUCCAGAUCUGCCAGUCGACCAGACUCUUCCAGAUCUGCCAGUCAGCCAGGAUCUUCCAGAUCUGCCAGUCAGCCAGGAUCUGCCAGAACCGCCAGUCAGCCAGGAUCUGCCAGAACCGCCAGCCAGCCAGGAUCUGCCGGAUCCAACUACCUGCCUGAGCUUCCUCUCAGUGCUGAGCUUCCUCUCAGUGCUGAGCUUCCUCUCAGUGCUGAGCUACCUCUGUCCCGAGCUGUCCCUCUGUCCCGAGCGGUCAUUAAGGAGGGUAACCUAUCUAGGGACGCUAAGGAGGUGGACUAAAACGAUUAUGGAGUGGGGUCCACGUCCAGCGCCAGAGCCGCCACCGCGAACAGAUGCCCACCCAGACCCUCCCCUAUAG
This 2268-nucleotide long non-coding RNA is filed under the name Oncorhynchus mykiss (rainbow trout). RNAcentral describes it as "lncRNA (ENSOMYG00000064153.1)". Lineage: Eukaryota; Metazoa; Chordata; Actinopteri; Salmoniformes; Salmonidae. The record is from RNAcentral.